RNAcentral lists this long non-coding RNA (322 nucleotides) under Numida meleagris (helmeted guineafowl). Its description in RNAcentral is "lncRNA (ENSNMEG00000019960.1)". Lineage: Eukaryota; Metazoa; Chordata; Aves; Galliformes; Numididae. The record is from RNAcentral.
UUAAUAUUUACAAACUCAAGGCCUGCUCCUGCUCCCAUUGCCGUUGAAGAAAAAGGUUUUGCUGAGGGCUUCACCUUCGGAGCCCCACAGCAAAGGGUCGCGGAGCAGAGCAGCGCCGCCAGAAAUCCCGUAAGCAGAUUUCACACCCUGCCCUGCAAAUACAAUGUGAGUAUGGAAGAGAGGAUGGAUAUUGAUGCUUGUGCCCCAGACCAGCCUGCUCCUUGUGACAGACUGCAAUAAGCCAUCGCUGGACGAUGAUAGAAAGGUUCUUUGAAAAUCUCUCCAAGAUGCUUCCAAUAAAAGAAUUGUGCAACUAUUCCCA